GAAGGCCGGGGGCUUAGUGUCUGGGGGGGUUGGGGACGAGGAGGGGGCGGAGCGGCAACUGCGGAGGGGGAGACCACGGAGCGGGCGCGGCCGUAACCCGCGCAGGGCCUCUUCCAGAGGGGCAGGCACAACCAACACUGAGAUGAGUUAAUAACAAGAACCCGGCCUGGGCAGUCUAUGUCCUCGGAAGGAGAAUCGCUAUAGUUGGCCCAGAAGAGCGAACGACUCAACCUACGCAAAGUACGUGCAAACGUCACUGCUUUUCUAGGGGCAAAAAAUAACUAUUCUCCCAACCAACUCACAAGAGACAAAGUAAGAAGUCAGGCCGUGAGAUGAAGACAACAACCAUCAAACAUCAAACUGUUGUUCUGACUGUCCUUCAGAACAAGACAAAUACCUAAACUUCUGCUCGGUGUUGAGGGGACAAAAACAACUAGGAGAGGGAAGUGAUCGGAACGGAUACUGCAUGUGUUGCGGAUGAUCGAAGGGUAGAAGACCCGAAAUGGACUUGUGGGGUUUCUUCUUUGGAGAAGGGUCGUUCUAGCUUCUCCAAGCACGACGGCCUACCGAACUAGACUACGACCGGAGGAGUGGAGGAGCAUUCUCCGUUUCGUUCCUGAAGAAUGGGGUACUACAAGUUCGACUACUAGAACUAAACGCCAUAGCAUUAACCUACCACUUAAUAGGAAGACGAAAUCCGAGGAAGCUCCGUUAAUGACUCGAACGGGCACCUUUUUUUAACCGUAACAAAGAACUAAUACUACCUUGAGAAAGCGGAUAACACCUGUUAGGACGUUUACGUCAUUACAGACUGCUCUACGCACGACGACACUCCGUACAUCGUAGUGAAAAGGGCUGACGUUAGUAAUCACCUUCUAGAGCACUGUUCCAUAAACUGAAACACUUUGAUUGGCUCGACAUGAUGCGACCUUCAGUACCUUACCUGUAGUACCCCGGAUAAUCCUUCAGAGUCAGGUUACCAGUGGUACACCUUACACAAUCCAGGUGACUAAGUCUCCCAUUUCUCCAGUUAGAGAAGGUUGGACGUUCACUCAAAAAUGGAUACUAUCGACUCCACAAACUUUUAGAAUCACUCUCAUAUUUCCUGUAGCUUCCACGUUCCUACCUUCUAUUGUUCAAGACACACAGACACGUAAUGGCUUUACAACGUGGUGUACUGAUGCUUUGUCAAGUAGUCGCACAUUGACGACAAGACUUCCUAAUGGGAACAGAAUCCGAAUGGGUACCCUCCUUCCAAGAACUUCAAGCGGGACAGUAACUGACCUUGUUCCCCUUUCGACACCUUAAAAACGAACUUAGCGAACCUGAUUCGCUCUCACUGCUACAAGAAGGGUAGAUACAGCCUCUACUGUUCUGACUGCUUCUACGUAAGUUCCAAGACUUUCGUUUGUUGGUACCGAAACCUUAAGACCAAAGUAGACACGGGUUCCUGUCACUACGGAAGAUAAGGGACUCCCUAGGUAGACUCCACUACCUUAAGGACUCCUGUAACCGUCGUACCUUCCUCCCAAGAUCGACUCGUCUGCCCUUCUUGCCAAAACGACAGGACCUCUUCGGGGGUUAAUAUAUAUGUUCGAUUGGUUUAUUCAACCGACUAUAUUCUCUCAGUCCGGUUUCGAAAAAACUAAACCGUAAAACAUUUACACCGACGGUGAAAAAAACCGUGGUGGAAAACAGAAAACAAUUACCCUGAACAGUCAAAGUAAGAAAAUAACAAUUUUCCAAGAAAAUCAUAUAUAGUUAUAUUCGACUUUUUAAAGGACGACCAUGUAAAGUACCAACUUUGCCGGCAGAUACAAACAGAUAAAUUAAAUAAAGACAGACAUCCUAUGAAUACAUUCGUGGCAGACUUUAACCGGACAACGUUGUAUCGUUUUG
Molecule: ribosomal RNA, 1899 nt
Filed under: Triticum aestivum (bread wheat)
Lineage: Eukaryota; Viridiplantae; Streptophyta; Magnoliopsida; Poales; Poaceae
Description: partial small subunit ribosomal RNA
Source: RNAcentral